RNAcentral lists this ribosomal RNA (486 nucleotides) under uncultured Bacteroidota bacterium. Its description in RNAcentral is "bacterial SSU rRNA". It matches the Rfam family "Bacterial small subunit ribosomal RNA", at positions 61 to 543 of the family's 1533-position model. Lineage: Bacteria; Pseudomonadati; Bacteroidota. The record is from RNAcentral.
GGCGAGGGGCAGCAUAAAUACUUGUAUUUGAUGGCGAACGGCGAACGGGUGCGUAACGCGUAUGCAACUUACCUUUUACUAGAGAAUAGCCAAGAGAAAUUUGAUUAAUGCUCUAUGUUCUUAUUUACUCGCAUGAGUAAAUAAGCAAAGCUCCGGCGGUAAAAGAUGGGCAUGCGUCCUAUUAGCUUGUAGGUGAGGUAAUGGCUCACCUAAGCUCCGAUAGGUAGGGGUCCUGAGAGGGAGAUCCCCCACACUGGUACUGAGACACGGACCAGACUUCUACGGAAGGCAGCAGUAAGGAAUAUUGGACAAUGGAGGCAACUCUGAUCCAGCCAUGCCGCGUGAAGGAAGACGGCCUUAUGGGUUGUAAACUUCUUUUAUACAGGAAGAAACCUUUCCACGUGUGGAAAGUUGACGGUACUGUAAGAAUAAGGAUCGGCUAACUCCGUGCCAGCAGCCGCGGUAAUACGGAGGAUCCAAGCGUUA